Molecule: ribosomal RNA, 119 nt
Filed under: Petromyzon marinus (sea lamprey)
Lineage: Eukaryota; Metazoa; Chordata; Hyperoartia; Petromyzontiformes; Petromyzontidae
Source: RNAcentral
AUCAUUGCCCAAAUCGCCAUGAAUAUGCCCGAUCUCAUCAGAUAUUGGAAGAUAAACAGGGCUGAGCCUGGUUAAUGCUUGUAUGGGUGGUCACCAGCGAGUGCUGAUUACUGUAGGUC